RNAcentral lists this transfer RNA (56 nucleotides) under Bos taurus (domestic cattle). It matches the Rfam family "tRNA", at positions 8 to 63 of the family's 71-position model. Rfam says of the family: Transfer RNA (tRNA) molecules are approximately 80 nucleotides in length. Their secondary structure includes four short double-helical elements and three loops (D, anti-codon, and T loops). RNAcentral also lists the same sequence under 2 other names. Lineage: Eukaryota; Metazoa; Chordata; Mammalia; Artiodactyla; Bovidae. The record is from Rfam by way of RNAcentral.
UGGCUGAGAGGUUAAAGCAUCUGCCUGCAAUGCAGGAGACCAGGGUUCGAUCCCUG